This 5804-nucleotide long non-coding RNA is filed under the name Brassica napus (rape). RNAcentral's name for it is "long non-coding RNA (BNAP_LNC004600)". Lineage: Eukaryota; Viridiplantae; Streptophyta; Magnoliopsida; Brassicales; Brassicaceae. The record is from RNAcentral.
GCUGCUGCAAAUGAUGAAGAGUGCCGGAAUAGAACCAACACUUGCUACAAUGCAUCUGCUGAUGGUUUCGUAUAGUUCUUCAGGAAAGCCCCAAGAAGCUGAAAAAGUUCUUAGUAACCUGAAAGAAACAGACGUGGAACUAACAACUCUGCCUUAUAGUUCAGUCAUUGAUGCUUACCUUCGGAGCAAAGAUUAUAACAGUGGAAUAGAAAGGCUAUUGGAAAUGAAGAGAGAGGGCCUGGAGCCAGACCACAGGAUAUGGACUUGCUUUAUUAGGGCGGCGAGUUUCUCCAAGGAAAAAAGUGAAUUCAUGCUGCUUCUGAAAGCUCUUCAAGAUAUUGGUUUUGAUCUUCCUAUCAGGUAUGCAUUCCGAGUUUCCGUACAUACCAUUUUGAGUUCAAUCUUGAAGUAUAUGAUGCAUUCCUUGAAUAGUAUAUCUCCUAACUGAACCUAGAAAUAAUAAUUAUCAUCGUAUGGUACUAAUUCUCAUUUAAUGAUUCCUACCAGGCUUCUAGUUGAAAGACCUGAGUUGCUAGUUUCUGAGGUGGAUGAAUGGUUUGAGAAACUGAAACCCAUAGAGGACAAUGCUGCUCUCAAUUUUGCCAAUGCCCUUUUGAAUCUUCUCUGGGCUUUCGAACUCCGAGCUACUGCAUCAUGGGUAUUCCAGAUAGCAAUCAAAAGGGGUAUCUUCAGUCGCGACGUUUUCAGGUCUGAUCCUGUUUUGCUUAUGUCUGUCUGUUUUGGAGAGCUAGGGCCUGUAUUAGUGAACACUUGUUUAGUGCAAACGCUUAGGUGUUUAGCAGUCACAUUAAUGAUUGGUUUUGAUUUACAGGGUGGCGGACAAGGAUUGGGGUGCUGAUUUUAGAAGAUUGUCAGCAGGUGCAGCGCUUGUUGCCCUAACUCUAUGGCUUGACCACAUGCAGGCAAUUCUUCUAUCUCUAAUAUCUGCAUCUUCGCUUCAUCUUUUGACGAUCAUUCUCAUAUUCACCAAUGAACCUCUGUUACAAUUCUUCUGCAAUUUCAGGAUGCAUCACUUGAAGGGUACCCAGAAUCUCCAAAGUCAGUAGUCUUAAUCACAGGAACCGCAGAGUACAACGGUAUCUCCCUGGACAAAACGUUAAAGGCAUGUCUUUGGGAGAUGGGCUCUCCAUUUCUUCCUUGCAAGACGAGAACAGGACUUCUAGUAGCGAAAGCUCACUCUCUCAGAAUGUGGUUGAAGGACUCACCCUUCUGCUUCGACUUGGAACUGAAAGACUCAGUUUCUUUACCGGAAACAAGCUCGAUGGAGCUGAUCGACGGGUGUUUUAUAAGACGCGGCCUUGUUCCUGCAUUUAACCACAUCAAAGAGAGACUUGGUGGGUUUGUAUCACCAAAGAAGUUUUCUAGACUAGCUCUGCUACCGGAUGAGAUGAGAGAACGAGUGAUUAAGACAGAUAUAGAAGGACAUAGACAGAAGCUAGAGAAGAUGAGAAAGAAGAAUAAAGGAAAUGAAAUUGUAAACGUUAACACUCGAAGGAAGUUCAUUAGAAGUAAGUAAUGAGAUUAUACUGGGUUAUACAUACACAACACGAGUGAUAUGUACAAAGUGUUUUCAUCUGUAUGUUUUAUUUAUUUACUACAAUGAUUAGUAAUUUAAAGAGUUACAUGACGUCGAACAGUUUAUUACCGUUAAAUAUGUUGUAACCUGUAAUUUUAGUUAGAAAAUGUGUUAUUUAUGCUCUCGAUUAGUCUUUGUAACAGUCAAAGUCAAGCAAUUUCUUCGAUGUUAAAUCACGAAACAAUUGUUUUUCUAUAAUUAGACGUAUCUAUUAUACAGACAAAAUUGUUCAAGAGCAACAAAGAAACUAGUUUGGUGCAUCUUGGUUCUCGACAGGAACUACUGCAGACACUUUCCUUCUAGGCGUAAGCUUCUUGACACCAACUUUGACUUGAGAGCAGUCGGUGGUCACUGUGCUGUUGUUGGAUGUUUCUGCAACACUUUUGCGUCUUCGGCUUUGUUUCUUCUCCUUUACAUUGUCUUGAUUCUCUUUAUACCAUUCCAAAGACCUAACCUCUCCUCCAUUGUCUAGAUUCUCGAUAUUUUCACAGACAGUCUCAUUUUCUUGUCUACAUACAUCUCCUGAGAAUCUCUCUGAUCCUUUUCUCCUUCUCUUUGGCCGCCUCUCUUUAGCAGCAGAAGAUACUUCACUCUCGCAUUCUGCAUCUGCUUUCUUCGGUCUGAAUCAACAAAAAAGGCAAAUUAAGAUUCAUAAAACCAGUGUGAGAGUAUUAGUACGUCUGAUGAAUAUUCAAAUAACUUACCUUGCUUUGCGUUUCCUCUUCACGGCUACAAUUUCGGGUUCUGGCUCAAGAGGUAUCUCAGGUAGUGCAAGAAACUUGCAUUCGAGAAGAGCAGGACGUUGUGAUUCCCGAUCAACAAAGUUACCUACAAUAGCUUCUUUGCGUAACCUUGUAGCUUCUUGUAAAAGAGGGACUUGGUGUGGAUAUAGCUGCAUCCACCUCCUCCGGCAUUGAUUAUCAGUACGACGAGGCACAUGUGAAGCGAUUUUGGACCAAUUACCAAUCUCAUGUUCUGCCAUUGCUUCUCUCAACUUUGCAUCUUCUUCCUUGCUCCACUUCCCAUGAUUUACAUUGGGAUCUAAACAAUUCGCCCAUUUCUCUCGACACUGAGUAGAGGUUCGUCCAGGAACAAAGCGAGCAAUUUUAUGCCAGUUUUGAGCUCCAAAGAGUGUCACAGCUACUUUCAAACGUUUUUCUUCGUCUGAGCUAAAUUUCCCUACCCUCGUUCUGGUAGGAUGGAGCGUCUUUUUCCAUCUGAAAGUAUAGAGAAAGAAGAGCAUAAGAUCAACCAUUCACCUAAGUAUCUGAAUUAAGACAGCAAAAUGCAGGACAAUAACCUCUGAACACAAUCUCAAUCCUACUUCAUGAUUAUCAUUAAUGACUGCAUAUUGACGUAAUCCCACAUCGACUAAACAUGGACCUGAUGUGUGGUUUAUAAACCCCAUAGACUAUUUUACCAAACAAAUUAGCUCUUGUGACAAUUUGAUUUUGGACUACACUAAAUUAAUAUCAAUAGACAAAACUGCCAGCAAACUGUUGAAUCUCUAAAUUUAUCUAAAUUCAUUAAGAAAUGGGUGAACGUAAAAGAUAGUAACUGACCUAUUAGAGCACUGAGUUCCAGCCCGUCCUUCUAAUGCAUUUGUUAGAUAUGGUGAGGAACUCGGGUCUUAGGCCUGAUGCUAUUACAUACAACACUCUACUUAGCGCGUGUUCUAGAGAUUCGAAUUUGGAAGGGGCUGUGAAGGUUUUCGAGGACAUGGAAGCGCAUCGUUGCCAGCCUGACUUGUGGACUUACAAUGCUAUGAUCUCUGUUUAUGGAAGAUGCGGGCUUGCUGCGAAAGCUGAGAGUCUCUUCGCGGAGCUGGAGCUUAAAGGCUACUUCCCUGAUGCAGUUACUUAUAAUUCUUUGCUCUAUGCUUUUGCUAGAGAGAGGAAUACGGAGAAGGUGAAGGAGGUUUACGAGGCGAUGCAGAAAAUGGGGUUUGGGAAAGACGAGAUGACUUACAACACGAUUAUUCACAUGUAUGGGAAGCAGGGGCAGCUUGAUCUCGCGCUGAAGCUUUAUAAGGACAUGAAAGGUUUGUCUGGUAGAAGCCCUGAUGCUAUUACUUACACGGUUUUGAUAGACUCGCUUGGUAAAGCAAACAGAACUGUGGAAGCUGCAGCGUUGAUGUCUGAGAUGCUUGAUGUCGGGAUCAAACCAACUCUGCAGACCUACAGUGCUCUCAUCUGCGGUUAUGCCAAGGCUGGGAAGCGAGAGGAGGCUGAAGAGACUUUCAGUUGCAUGUUGCGCUCAGGGACUAAGCCUGAUAAUUUGGCGUAUUCUGUAAUGUUGGAUGUGUUACUAAGAGGCAACGAGACAAGAAAGGCGUGGGCUUUAUAUCGUGAUAUGAUUUCUGAUGGUCAUAUGCCGACUCACAGUCUGUAUGAGCUGAUGAUACUUGGACUUAUGAAGGAAAACAGGGCAGAAGACAUUCAGAAAACCAUCAGAGAUAUGGAAGAACUGUGUGGCAUGAACCCACUAGAGAUUUCCUCUGUUCUUGUUAAGGGCGAAUGCUUUGAUCUUGCUGCUAGACAGUUGAAAGUAGCUAUCACUAAUGGCUACGAACUGCAAAACGACACUCUGUUAUCUAUCCUGGGUUCCUACAGUUCAUCAGGCAGGCAUUCGGAAGCAUGUGAGUUACUUGAGUUUUUGAAAGAACACGCCAGUGGAUCUAGGCUGCUUAUAAACGAAGCACUGAUUGUUCUACAUUGCAAGGUUAACAAUAUAAUUGCUGCGCUCGAAGAAUACUUUACUGGCGCAUGUGUUCAUGGAUGGAGUUUUGGCAGUUCCACCAUGUAUGAGUCCUUAUUACACUGCUGUGUAGCGAAUGAACAUUACGCAGAAGCUUCUCAAGUUUUCUCUGACCUGAGACUGUCUGGCUGCGAAGCUUCAGAAAGUGUUUGUAAAAGCAUGGUUGGUGUGUAUUGUAAGCUUGGAUUUCCAGAGACAGCUCAUCAAGUGGUUACUCAGGCUGAGACAAAAGGCUUCCACUUCGCUUGUUCGCCUACGUAUACUGAUAUCAUUGAGGCUUAUGGAAAACUAAAGCUAUGGCAAAAAGCAGAGAGUGUGGUUGGCAACUUGAGACAAAGUGGACGAACCCCUGAUCUCAAGACAUGGAACAGUUUGAUGACGGCUUAUGCUGAGUGUGGCUGUUACGAGCGGGCAAGGGCUAUAUUUAACACUAUGAUGAGGGAUGGUCCGUCUCCAAGUGUUGAAUCCAUCAACACUCUGUUGCAUGCUUUGUGUGUAGAUGGAAGGCUUGAGGAGCUAUACGUUGUUGUUGAAGAGUUGCAAGAUAUGGGUUUCAAGAUUAGUAAAAGCUCCAUUCUUUUGAUGCUUGACGCAUUUGCUCGAGUUGGAAAUAUCUUUGAGGUAAAGAAGAUAUAUAAUAGCAUGAAGGCUGCUGGUUACUUGCCAACAAUUCGCCUUUAUAGGAUGAUGAUUGAGCUUUUGUGCAAAGGGAAACGAGUCAGAGAUGCCGAAGUUAUGGUUUCUGAAAUGGAAGAAGCUGGCUUCAAGGUCGAGCUCGCGAUAUGGAAUUCCAUGCUGAAGAUGUAUACAGCUAUCGAGGAUUACAAGAAAACAGUUCAAGUGUACCAUAGGAUCAAAGAAACGGGGCUAGAACCAGAUGAGACCACUUACAAUACUCUCAUUAUAAUGUAUUGUAGAGACAGACGGCCAGAAGAAGGGUACUUGCUUAUGCAGCAAAUGAGAAAUAUUGGUCUUGAGCCAAAACUGGACACAUACAAGAGUUUGAUCUCAGCUUUUGGUAAGCAAAAAUGCCUUGAGCAAGCUGAACAGCUGUUUGAAGAGCUUCUCUCCAAAGGUUAUAAACUAGACCGUUCAUUUUACCACACGAUGAUGAAAAUAUCCCGAGAUUCUGGGAGCGACUCUAAGGCAGAGAGGCUGCUUCAAAUGAUGAAGAGUGCGGGAAUAGAACCAACGCUUGCUACGAUGCAUCUGCUAAUGGUUUCAUAUAGUUCUUCAGGAAAGCCCCAAGAAGCGGAAAAAGUUCUUAGUAACCUGAAAGAAACAGAAGUGGAACUAACAACGCUGCCAUAUAGUUCAGUCAUUGAUGCUUACCUUCGGAGCAAAGAUUAUAACAGUGGAAUAGAAAGGCUAUUGGAAAUGAAGAGAGAAGGCCUGGAGCCAGACCACAGGAUAUGGACUUGCUUUGUUAGGGCGGCGAGUUUCUCCAAGG